This 792-nucleotide ribosomal RNA is filed under the name Triticum aestivum (bread wheat). Its description in RNAcentral is "partial small subunit ribosomal RNA". The record is from RNAcentral. Lineage: Eukaryota; Viridiplantae; Streptophyta; Magnoliopsida; Poales; Poaceae.
AUGGACUGUGGCCUAUCUGAUUUGGGGUACUCGGGCCCGAAGUUUACUUGGUGUAACAAGCAAGAUCCCAAUAGCAAUGUUCGGUGUCGUCUUGAUCGUGCUGUGUCUAAUGCUGCGUUUUCCAGCCUCUUUUCUGAAUGCAGCGUGGAGAAUGUCAUUGCUACCACGUCCGAUCAUUACCCCAUCCGCAUGUCUCUGGACAAUCUGUCCCAUCAGCGCCGUCCGGCUCCAGUACAGCACGGUUUCAGGUUCGAGGCUAUGUGGUUGCGGGCGUCUGACUAUAAAUAAACCCUCGAACAAGCAUGGUCUACUGGAAGGGCUGGGCUCUCCUCUCUAAGCUCUACUUGGGCAAGUUUGACAAGUGUGGCUGCCUCUCUUCGCACAUGGAGCAGGGAGUCCUUUGGCUCCAUUUGCAAGCAGAUUGGGAAGAUGGAGUGCCGUCUGGCGUCAAUCAGAUCCUCCCCUCCUUCCCCAGCUUCCUAUUCUGAAGAGCGACAUAUCGAGACUCAACUCUGUGAGAUGUUUGAACGGGAGGAAAUUAUGGAGAGGCAGCGUUCGCGGGUGGAUUGGCUGAAAUCUGGCGAUCGUAAUACAGAGUUUUUCCAGGCCAGAGCGUCGGCUAGGCGGAGGACUAACAGGAUCCAUUCGCUCCUUCGGGAGGAUGGUUCGGUUUGUAGCGCUCAAGGGCAGCUUAAGGGCAUGGUUCAAUCUUUCUAUGAAGAUCUCUUCACGUUCGAACCCCGACCAGCAGCUGAUGAGGUUGUGCAGGCUAUCCCUAGCAAGGUUUCUUCU